Molecule: ribosomal RNA, 253 nt
Filed under: uncultured bacterium
Lineage: Bacteria
Description: partial 16S ribosomal RNA
Rfam family: Bacterial small subunit ribosomal RNA
Source: RNAcentral
UACGUAGGUGACAAGCGUUGUCCGGAUUUACUGGGCGUAAAGAGCGCGCAGGCGGUCGUUCAAGUCGAGUGUGAAAGCCCCCGGCUCAACUGGGGAGGGUCACUCGAUACUGAUCGACUCGAAGGCAGGAGAGGGAAGUGGAAUUCCCGGUGUAGUGGUGAAAUGCGUAGAUAUCAGGAAGAACACCAACGGCGAAGGCAGCUCGCUGGGACGGUACUGACGCUGAGACGCGAAAGCGUGGGGAGCGAACAGG